CAGUCGCCGCGGUAAUACAGAGGGUGCAAGCGUUAAUCGGAUUUACUGGGCGUAAAGGGCGCGUAGGUGGUUAUGUAAGUGAGAUGUGAAAUCCCCGGGCUCAACCUGGGAACUGCAUCUUAUACUGCGUAGCUGGAGUGCAGUAGAGGGUAGUGGAAUUUCCGGUGUAGCGGUGAAAUGCGUAGAUAUCGGAAGGAACACCAGUGGCGAAGGCGGCUACCUGGACUGACACUGACACCGAGGCGCGAAAGCGUGGGGAGCAAACAGGAUUAGAUACCCGUGUAGUCCCUGUCUCUUAUAC
This 301-nucleotide ribosomal RNA is filed under the name uncultured bacterium. RNAcentral's name for it is "partial 16S ribosomal RNA". It matches the Rfam family "Bacterial small subunit ribosomal RNA", at positions 509 to 807 of the family's 1533-position model. The record is from RNAcentral.